This 460-nucleotide ribosomal RNA is filed under the name uncultured bacterium. RNAcentral describes it as "partial 16S ribosomal RNA". It matches the Rfam family "Bacterial small subunit ribosomal RNA", at positions 338 to 795 of the family's 1533-position model. The record is from RNAcentral.
CCUACGGGGGGCAGCAGUGAGGAAUAUUGGUCAAUGGACGAGAGUCUGAACCAGCCAAGUAGCGUGAAGGAUGACUGCCCUAUGGGUUGUAAACUUCUUUUAUAUGGGAAUAAAAUGUUCCACGUGUGGGAUUUUGUAUGUACCAUAUGAAUAAGGAUCGGCUAACUCCGUGCCAGCAGCCGCGGUAAUACGGAGGAUCCGAGCGUUCUCCGGAUUUAUUGGGUUUAAAGGGAGCGUAGGUGGAUUGUUAAGUCAGUUGUGAAAGUUUGCGGCUCAACCGUAAAAUUGCAGUUGAAACUGGCAGUCUUGAGUACAGUAGAGGUGGGCGGAAUUCGUGGUGUAGCGGUGAAAUGCUUAGAUAUCACGAAGAACUCCGAUUGCGAAGGCAGUUCACUGGACUGCAACUGACACUGAGGCUCGAAAGUGUGGGUAUCAAACAGGAUUAGAUACCCCUGUAGUC